This is a long non-coding RNA of Vicia villosa (hairy vetch), 338 nucleotides long. RefSeq lists it as uncharacterized. The record is from RefSeq and is a predicted model, not a curated record. NCBI's taxonomy places the organism in Eukaryota, Viridiplantae, Streptophyta, Magnoliopsida, Fabales, Fabaceae. The transcript has 2 exons.
AAAAGAAAAUAAAGUUGAAAGAAAAUCUUCACACAAAAAUGAUAAAGCUCAUUUGCCAAUAUCUUCUAUUGGGACUUUUUUGCAUUGCGUUUAUCAUGACUUCAGGAGCAACUCCGGAUUUCAACAGUCCAAGUUAUGCUUGCCUUGGGGUAUGUGAUGAUAUGAAUAUCUGUAUCAAAACAUGCAUGAACUUGCACUAUCGUACUGGAGUUUGUAUUAAUCCAAAAGUAUGUUGUUGUACAAUGUAGAAUUAUGUAAUCAAAACCAAGUCUCAAAUAAAUAGAAUCAAUGGGAAGCUAAGAUAAAUAAGCAAUUAUGCAAUAAUAAAUUGGGAGAAA